RNAcentral lists this long non-coding RNA (1353 nucleotides) under Drosophila guanche. The record is from RNAcentral. Lineage: Eukaryota; Metazoa; Arthropoda; Insecta; Diptera; Drosophilidae.
CUGCACACUUUUUCUGUUUGCAGUUUUUCUGCUUCUUUCAGGCGCCAGUUGUCAUUCAUUUUCUAUUUCACCCGAAAUCGCACUCGUAAUCGCCAUUAAAUAAUAAACUCUACAGUUUUUGGCCUUUUGGCUAUCUUGGCCGUAAAAGGCAAUGCCACUGGGGGAGUUCCCCCCAUCGAGUGCUGGGCAAACAACGGUGAUUUUUUCUGUGCCAACUUUUGUUUUUCUCCGGAACUACUGAUAAGAAAACGCCCAGAAACGAACAAGAACGAACAGGAAUUUGUGCUAAGGUCUCUUUACUUUGAUAUUUAUGCAGAAUAUUUGCCUUCGUUGUUAUUAUAAAUUUGUUAUCGUUGAUAUUUUUAGCAGGCGGGCAGUUUAUUUUUAACAUUUGUUGGGUUAUUUUUGGUUUUUUGUGUGUGUGGCUUGGAUGUUAAUGCGACGCAGACGGUAAUGAGAAAGACAAUGUCAAGUGGUGGCUGGCCAUCAGUCAGAGACACAGACGAACGGGUUGAACCCCAGAGCCAGAGCCCAAUGCAAACAUUGUGUGUAGCUGAUAACACCGCUUGCCUCUUAUCUACGAGAAAGUGUGUCUCCAUGGCAGAAUCGUUCUCCUUGAAUUCAUGUUUGCUCCUACCAUAGUUUCGAUUGAUUUCUUCUGAUUCUGAUUAGAUAGAGUUUAAGUACGGGUAUUUCGCCAUGUUUGCUGUUCCAUUUUGUUUGUGCAUUUAUUAAUAGCAAUUCCAGUGGGGCAGUGCAUGUAAUAUCUUUACCCAGAAACAAUAGGAAGUUCGUGAUGUGGGGAGCACUCUGGCCACUCCAUAUGGCCGAGUGUUUUGUUACUUCCUUCCUCAAUAAUACAUUUCAGCAAUGAUAAACAAUUUGCCUUGUUGCCAGGUCCGCUGCUUCACAGUUGUCGCAUGAUUAUGAAAGCUGGAACGUGAUAUGAUAGUCACGCGUUUAUGAUUAUCACGUUUUUUGCGAUAAUUUUUCUGCCUUUUUGGUCUCCAAAAAAACAUAAAAACGGCUAUCGACGCUGGGGAUCUGGUUGGUUUGUGGCUGGAAAAACUGUACCUAAUUAGGUGUACACAUGCUCCAAAUUCUUUAAUAUUGAAACCUCUUGCAGACAGACAAGCCAGACGUCUGCUGACGUAUUAAAUAAUGCUCAAAAAUUGGUUCGCCGCCAAAAUGAAAGAUUUCCCAGCGGAUAAGUCUGCUAUUCCUGUAGGAGUAAGCAACCGCAGCAACAGCAAAAGCAAAUUAAAAUCCGCCCCCAGAACAGAGCACAUGUGAUAUUUCGUAGGUGCCUCGCGUAUUGACGUCACAAAGACUCUUCGCUUUCGUCACUGUUGG